This 192-nucleotide ribosomal RNA is filed under the name Myriospora smaragdula. RNAcentral's name for it is "5.8S ribosomal RNA". The stretch from base 5 to 158 matches the Rfam family "5.8S ribosomal RNA". From Rfam's summary of the family: 5.8S ribosomal RNA (5.8S rRNA) is a component of the large subunit of the eukaryotic ribosome. It is transcribed by RNA polymerase I as part of the 45S precursor that also contains 18S and 28S rRNA. Lineage: Eukaryota; Fungi; Ascomycota; Lecanoromycetes; Acarosporales; Acarosporaceae. The record is from RNAcentral.
UUAAAACUUUCAACAACGGAUCUCUUGGUUCUGGCAUCGAUGAAGAACGCAGCGAAAUGCGAUAAGUAAUGUGAAUUGCAGAAUUCAGUGAAUCAUCGAAUCUUUGAACGCACAUUGCGCCCCUUGGUAUUCCGGGGGGCAUGCCUGUUCGAGCGUCAUUACACCACUCAAGCUCAGCUUGGUAUUGGGCCU